AGAUUGAACGCUGGCGGCAUGCCUAACACAUGCAAGUCAGCGGGCAGCGCGGGGGGCAACCCUGGCGGCGAGCGGCGGACGGGUGAGUAAGGCAUCGGAAUCUGCCCUGAUGUGGGGGAUAACGUAGGGAAACUUACGCUAAUACCGCAUACGACCGAGAGGUGAAGGCGGGGGACCGAAAGGCCUCGCGCUGGUGGAUGAGCCUACGUCCGAUUAGUUAGUUGGUGGGGUAAAGGCCUACCAAGGCUACGAUCGGUAGCUGGUCUGAGAGGACGACCAGCCACACGUGGGACUGAGACACGGCCCAGACUCCUACGGGAGGCAGC
This 326-nucleotide ribosomal RNA is filed under the name uncultured prokaryote. RNAcentral describes it as "bacterial SSU rRNA". It matches the Rfam family "Bacterial small subunit ribosomal RNA", at positions 26 to 352 of the family's 1533-position model. The record is from RNAcentral.